GAUGAACGCUGGCGGCGUGCCUAAUACAUGCAAGUCGAGCGAACGGACGAGAAGCUUGCUUCUCUGAUGUUAGCGGCGGACGGGUGAGUAACACGUGGAUAACCUACCUAUAAGACUGGGAUAACUUCGGGAAACCGGAGCUAAUACCGGAUAAUAUUUUGAACCGCAUGGUUCAAAAGUGAAAGACGGUCUUGCUGUCACUUAUAGAUGGAUCCGCGCUGCAUUAGCUAGUUGGUAAGGUAACGGCUUACCAAGGCAACGAUGCAUAGCCGACCUGAGAGGGUGAUCGGCCACACUGGAACUGAGACACGGUCCAGACUCCUACGGGAGGCAGCAGUAGGGAAUCUUCCGCAAUGGGCGAAAGCCUGACGGAGCAACGCCGCGUGAGUGAUGAAGGUCUUCGGAUCGUAAAACUCUGUUAUUAGGGAAGAACAUAUGUGUAAGUAACUGUGCACAUCUUGACGGUACCUAAUCAGAAAGCCACGGCUAACUACGUGCCAGCAGCCGCGGUAAUACGUAGGUGGCAAGCGUUAUCCGGAAUUAUUGGGCGUAAAGCGCGCGUAGGCGGUUUUUUAAGUCUGAUGUGAAAGCCCACGGCUCAACCGUGGAGGGUCAUUGGAAACUGGAAAACUUGAGUGCAGAAGAGGAAAGUGGAAUUCCAUGUGUAGCGGUGAAAUGCGCAGAGAUAUGGAGGAACACCAGUGGCGAAGGCGACUUUCUGGUCUGUAACUGACGCUGAUGUGCGAAAGCGUGGGGAUCAAACAGGAUUAGAUACCCUGGUAGCCCACGCCGUAAACGAUGAGUGCUAAGUGUUAGGGGGUUUCCGCCCCUUAGUGCUGCAGCUAACGCAUUAAGCACUCCGCCUGGGGAGUACGACCGCAAGGUUGAAACUCAAAGGAAUUGACGGGGACCCGCACAAGCGGUGGAGCGUGUGGUUUAAUUCGAAGCAACGCGAAGAACCUCACCAAAUCUUGUCAUCCUUUGACAACUCUAGAGAUAGAGCCUUCCCCUUCGGGGGACAAAGUGACAGGUGGUGCAUGGUUGUCGUCAGCUCGUGUCGUGAGAUGUUGGGUUAAGUCCCGCAACGAGCGCAACCCUUAAGCUUAGUUGCCAUCAUUAAGUUGGGCACUCUAAGUUGACUGCCGGUGACAAACCGGAGGAAGGUGGGGAUGACGUCAAAUCAUCAUGCCCCUUAUGAUUUGGGCUACACACGUGCUACAAUGGACAAUACAAAGGGCAGCGAAACCGCGAGGUCAAGCAAAUCCCAUAAAGUUGUUCUCAGUUCGGAUUGUAGUCUGCAACUCGACUACAUGAAGCUGGAAUCGCUAGUAAUCGUAGAUCAGCAUGCUACGGUGAAUACGUUCCCGGGUCU
This 1372-nucleotide ribosomal RNA is filed under the name uncultured bacterium. RNAcentral's name for it is "bacterial SSU rRNA". It matches the Rfam family "Bacterial small subunit ribosomal RNA", at positions 28 to 1381 of the family's 1533-position model. The record is from RNAcentral.